UGAGAUCAGAGUUGGUGGGUCCAGGUGGAGCCAUGGGUGUGAGACAAGCAAAAAACCUGAAAGACAUCUCAAAAGGCCAAUCUACAAUCGUGUCUUGUCUGCAGGAAUAACUGGGGAAGUUGCAUAUCUUAUAGCCUCUGGAAUAAUGGCUGACAAUCUUUCCUGCCUGUGCCUUAGCAGGACUCAGGUUCCUCUCCUAUCCCCAGCCUGAUGGCCUCCUAUUUGCUUUAAAAAAGCUGUCAUUCUAAGUCCCAAGAAGCCAUGUGCCCCCCAUGAGGACUAUGAACAUCGGGGCCUGAGUCCAUCAGGACAGAAGCCAGAGCUGUGAAGACUAUACUUGGAGGAUCCAACCGCUCCCACAAUAGCCAGGAGGCAAAAC
Molecule: long non-coding RNA, 379 nt
Filed under: Homo sapiens (human)
Lineage: Eukaryota; Metazoa; Chordata; Mammalia; Primates; Hominidae
Description: non-protein coding lnc-LPA-1:1
Source: RNAcentral